UUCCUGGAGGACUAGUGGUUAGGCCACAGCGCUAUUACUGCCAUGGCCUGGGUUCGAUGCCCGGCCAGGGAA
Non-coding RNA from Pangasianodon gigas (Mekong giant catfish), 72 nucleotides. The record is from the annotation of a GenBank genome assembly. Lineage: Eukaryota; Metazoa; Chordata; Actinopteri; Siluriformes; Pangasiidae.